AUGGAAAUCAGGGCUGGUCGUAUUUCAGACCAGUAUCUCCUGCUUGCUGGAGAAAAGAUGCUGGCCUGUGAUCCUGAAAAGAGAGAAAACCAGCACAAUGCUCAUCAAAAACACCUCCUGCUAAUAAUCCAGGCUGCAAACAUUCACAGACCCCUUGUUGCUUCUGCUCUUCAUUAUUUUCCCUGGAUCAGACAAACCUGUGGAGAGAUGCUCAGCUGUGCUACAAGAUGCCAAAUCCUGGGCUCCUCUGAUAGGAAUUAUUCUUUAGAACAGGAAUGUAGCAUGCUGGUGGGAUUCUCAGCAGCCAAAAUCAUGAGCAGAACUGAUUUGACAGCAAUUACAGCAGCAGGGCUCUGA
Molecule: long non-coding RNA, 357 nt
Filed under: Parus major (Great Tit)
Lineage: Eukaryota; Metazoa; Chordata; Aves; Passeriformes; Paridae
Description: lncRNA (ENSPMJG00000010616.1)
Source: RNAcentral